RNAcentral lists this ribosomal RNA (253 nucleotides) under uncultured bacterium. Its description in RNAcentral is "partial 16S ribosomal RNA". It matches the Rfam family "Bacterial small subunit ribosomal RNA", at positions 524 to 776 of the family's 1533-position model. The record is from RNAcentral.
UACGUAGGGUGCAAGCGUUAAUCGGAAUUACUGGGCGUAAAGCGUGCGCAGGCGGUUAUUUCAGACAGAUGUGAAAUGCCCGGGCUUAACCUGGGAACUGCAUUUGUGACUGCAUGGCUAGAGUUUGGCAGAGGGGGGUAGAAUUCCACGUGUAGCAGUGAAAUGCGUAGAUAUGUGGAGGAACACCGAUGGCGAAGGCAGCCCCCUGGGUCAAGACUGACGCUCAUGCACGAAAGCGUGGGGAGCAAACAGG